ACCGCCUGGGUAGUACGAUCGCAAGAUUAAAACUCAAAGGAAUAGACGGGGACUUGCACAAGCGGUGGAUUAUGUGGUUUAAUUCGAUGGUACACGAAGAACCUUACCAGGGCUAGAUAUCUAAUGGAAAGACUUAGGAAACUAAGUAACUCCGCAAGGACCGUUAGACAGGUGAUGCAUGGCCGUCGUCAGUUCGUGGUUUGAACUGUUCCCUUAAGUGGGGUAACGAACGCAACCCUUGUCGUCUGUUACAAGUGUCAGGCGAGACUGCCCAGCCCUAAGCGCACAAUACGAUCAUAAAAGAUGAUCGUGAUUGCGAAUUUGGGGCUGGGAGGAAGGCGGGGAUGACGCCAGGUCAGCAUGUCCCUAGAUGCCCUGGGCUACACACAUAAUACAAUGGAGGUUACAACGGGCAGCGACCCAGCAAUGGUGAGCUAAUCCUUAAAAAGCCUUCUCAGUCCGGAUUGAGGUCUGCAACUCGACCUCAUGAAGCCGGAAUCGCUAGUAAUCGCGGGUCAGCUAAACCGCGGUGAAUACGUUCUCAAGUCUUGUACUCACCGCCCGUCAACUCAAGGGAGCCGGGAGUACCCGAAAUCUCACCUCGUGUGGGCCUAAGGUAAGCUCGGUAACAGGGAGUAAGUCGUAACAAGGCACGGGUAGCGGAAGCUGCUCGUGGAUCAAUUCCAAU
Molecule: non-coding RNA, 688 nt
Organism: Candidatus Lloydbacteria bacterium
Lineage: Bacteria; Candidatus Lloydiibacteriota
Source: Rfam